GCUGCUUCACCUGGACAGGGUGUUGUGCCCCUAUUUAGGCUAGAAAACCCUACCUUUGGGUAAUUUGAUGAUUGGUUGUAUUGGAGCUCAGAGCUUGCAGCAUCCUCCUGGGACAUACAGCGAUGGCCCCCACACCUGGAAGGACUCAAGCUCUGAAUCCAGCACCUUCAGGAAGCAAGUGAUGGCAUCCCAGAGGCCCUAUGCUUGAGACAGACUGACGAAAACAGGUGGAUCUAGGUAAAAUCAGUCUCUGCUACCCUCCUCAUCUAAACCCUCAGUGCAGGGCCACCUUGGAAGCCAUGUGUUAACACUGAGUGAUCCUCCUCAGCCAAGUCCCUAAUGCAUGGAAAAGAACCUCCUGACCCAGUCCCCAAAGGCUGGACUUUUCCUUUGCAAGAAAUAAGGAGGGUAAAGUUCACCAUAAAUAACAAAGUCAUGGAGUCAAGCUGUCACAAUUGGCCACCGUUCCUAAGGCAUUUGAAUUGUAUGCAUUGACAGGAAAAAGCAGGAAGGAGUGAAGACAGAACAAGGGGAGAAUGUAACCUGAGUUGGAAGGUGUAAUAUUUAAAUGUAUUUGCAAACCUGUUUUGGGCCAAAAGGGGUAGGAGGAAGAGAAGACGCAUUUGCUGAGAUCUAUUAUAUGCCAAUUGGAGGACUACAGAUUUCACAAUUCACAUCUGUUGUCUUAUUUCUUUCUCAUAAUCCCAAAGAUAAUUCUAAAGUUACACAUUAUCAUCUCCAUUUACAAUUAAGAACUGAUGCUCCAAGAAGAAAGAUCUCACAGUGUGUAGGCAACAGACCUAAGAUUCAAACCUAUAUUGGUGGGUGUUAAUGUCCUUGUUCUUUCUGAUGUAAGCAUGUAACAUUUCCACAUCUCUGAUUCCAUGCUCAAGGUGGGCCAAGCCAUGCUGCUUGUAAGACAGGGUGCCUGUGAUGACACAAGUCAUUAAUGCAAGUGUUAAGUGCCAUGCAAGCACAGAAGCCACUUAAAAUGGGUUUUCGGAAAUGAAAGCUGGGCUCAAACAGAGCCCACUUUCAAGGGGGCCUGGUUUAAGUGGCCAAACUCUCAAGAAGAAAGGCAUUAAAGGAAGAGCCUUUCUGCUGGGCUGGCAAAACUUUAGGUUCAUGAAUUCAGGAGGAGACUGAGGAGGAGAAAACAGGGUUUUAGAAUGCAGCCUCAGGAGCUGCCUGCACCUCUCAGGCCAGGAGGUUGGCUUUUCCAAUUGUGCGAUUAAGCUAUUCUACCCAGCCCCACCUCUCAUUUUCAAUUAAUCUGCACUAAUGAAUUCAACAACCAAAAUGCAUUUGCUAAUUGAGGUGCUUGCUGGCCAGGUCAUCCGCGCUCCCUUGUCUAACAGCUGGUACUCCCCACUGUGCCACGGUAAAGUAGGGUAGUAGAGGCCUCUGCUCCCCUCAUCCCCUGCUGCCCCUGAGGGGAAUACCCAGUGGGCAAGAAAAGGCCCAGCCUGGGAGAGAAUGCUCAUAAUAUAUUACUAAGUCACAGACAGAAAUUGCUCCUCCGGGCAGUCUUUCACUUUUUGUUUCUAAGUGAAAGCUCAUGACCAUCCCAGCCAUAUUAUCUCCCUGGCCCUUGGAAGCUGUUAUGUAAUGGAAAGGGCAUUAAACUCAGGCCAGGAAAUUCUUGAUACAGAACCCAGACUGUUGUUGAUAACUGGGUUGACUUUGGAAAGUGACUGCCUCCCUCCCUCUCGGUUUGCUCAUCUGGAAAAUGAAACUAAUGGAAC
Molecule: long non-coding RNA, 1745 nt
Filed under: Homo sapiens (human)
Lineage: Eukaryota; Metazoa; Chordata; Mammalia; Primates; Hominidae
Description: HSALNT0345600
Source: RNAcentral